UCUUUAAAAAUAAAGAAUGCUGCAGUGAGAGGAAGUUGUCUCUGCUUACGCUGAGGCUCAGGGCUGUCCGCUCGAUCAGUAUAACAGCGCAGGCAGAGAGGACGAGGAGUGCACACGGGAGAGAACUGACGGAGGCGACGGGCGAAGAUGGCGAUUCGGCGCGGUCGGAGCGAGAAGAGCUCAUUAAAACGACGAAUAUUAACGAAGAGAAUGGCGUCGACCUGUUCAGAUGAAAGAGCAGAUCGCAACGGUGGGAACAUGGAAAACUGUGAAGAUUUCAACUGACAGCAACGAAGAGAAACAAGGAUUUAACUGUCUACGCAUUUUAAAUUCGCUUUGUCCUUGAGAGGACAAAAUGUCCUUGUAACAUUCGAAAGCGGAAAAAAUAUAUUUAACGCAAAUAUUGUUGUAAUAAUGCAAUUUUGGAAGUUCCAAUGCCAGUCUCAACAUUUUGAGUGUCUUUUGUUGAUUUCAAAUGUUUUCUUUGAAUAAACAAUUUUAUUGAACGUUUUAAUGCAUUUAUUGUGUGUUAAUUAUUGAAAAAUAUUUGCUUUUUUCCUGAUGUACAUUGUUUUGAACUUCUUCAGAGAACAUUGUGAAUAUGUCAACUUGCCAUAGGAUUUAGCACAUAAUUUUGAUGUUUUACAUUAUUUUAAGAUUCUAUUGUUAUCUGGUUAAAAAGUAACGGUUAAACAUUUGUUCAUUUUAUGCUUGUUUUCCACUUGGUAAUGAACUUAAAUAAAGAUAUCCACUUGUAUUUCUUGUGUUUUGAAUAACAUUUAUGCUGUAUUUUUCGACGUUAAAUAAUAGGGUGUUGGCUUUUAACCCAUUGUACUCCACAAGAACACUUUAUAAUUUUUAAAAAAUGUAGAAACUUGUUUCUUUAUUUCUGUUUUUUCCUUUUUAGUCAGAGAUUCAUAUGAAGUACAUUUUCACCUGAUUAGUGCUGUUUUAAAGUAAUAAUUGUCUUAAAAUUGUACAGAGAUUAUUGCUCAAUGUAAAAAAAAGUCAAAUUAAACCUGGAAUUUCUCUUUUCCCCUCUGGUUGUUGUCACAAUAUCAUAAAAAUGUAUAACCUAGAAAGUAAUGCACUUAAGUUUGUCUUUAUUUCAAGUGUAAAAUGUUAGGUUUGAUACAUCUUGAGGUCUUUGCUAUAUAUGUUUAUAGGAUCAACUGUUGAGAAAACAAAGGCUGCUAUAAAUAUUGCAUGUAGGAAUAAAUGAAAAUAAAACACGAGCCCUCAGUAAUGUUUCUAUAUGAAAGAGGUUUCUGAUUUAUGUAUAUUCUUUGGUGUAUUAUGAUAUAUUAUGUUAUGUAUUUGAACAAUUUUAAACAAUAGUACUUGCAAUUUAUCUGGACGCUAAUCGUAUUUCAUGUAGAGAAACCACAUGACUAAAGUAGAUGUUUCUUUUGAACAUUUUGACGCUCAAGUGAGCGUUACCAUGUAAAGGAGACAAUGUAAUACUAAUUGUCGAAAUUGUUUUUUGUGUACAGGAAUCAGAACAGCUGGAUGAAAGAUGA
Molecule: long non-coding RNA, 1520 nt
Organism: Labeo rohita (rohu)
Lineage: Eukaryota; Metazoa; Chordata; Actinopteri; Cypriniformes; Cyprinidae
Exons: 3
Source: RefSeq, a predicted model, not a curated record